Molecule: ribosomal RNA, 253 nt
Filed under: uncultured bacterium
Lineage: Bacteria
Description: partial 16S ribosomal RNA
Rfam family: Bacterial small subunit ribosomal RNA
Source: RNAcentral
UACAGAGGGUGCGAGCGUUAAUCGGAAUUACUGGGCGUAAAGGGCUCGUAGGCGGCCAACUAAGUCGGAUGUGAAAUCCCCAGGCUCAACCUGGGAACUGCAUCCGAUACUGGAUGGCUUGAAUUCGGGAGAGGGAUGCAGAAUUCCAGGUGUAGCGGUGAAAUGCGUAGAUAUCUGGAGGAAUACCGGUGGCGAAGGCGGCAUCCUGGACCGACAUUGACGCUGAGGAGCGAAAGCCAGGGGAGCAAACGGG